Molecule: ribosomal RNA, 306 nt
Filed under: bacterium enrichment culture clone ALO1_GLFRUDD03GNKT7
Lineage: Bacteria
Description: bacterial SSU rRNA
Rfam family: Bacterial small subunit ribosomal RNA
Source: RNAcentral
GAGUUUGAUCCUGGCUCAGAGCGAACGCUGGCGGCAUGCUUAACACAUGCAAGUCGCACGGUUCAGCAAUGGCAGUGGCGGACGGGGUGAGUAACACGUAGGGAAUCUAUCUCUGGGUGGGGGACAACAGUGGGAAACUACUGCUAAUACCGCAUGAUACCUGAGGGUCAAAGGCGUAAGUCGCCUGGAGAGGAGCCUGCGUCUGAUUAGCUUGUGUGGGUAAAGGCCUACCAAGGCUACGAUCAGUAGCUGGUCUGAGAGGAUGAUCAGCCACAUUGGGACUGAGACACGGGCCCAAACUCCUAC